Molecule: ribosomal RNA, 499 nt
Filed under: uncultured bacterium
Lineage: Bacteria
Description: partial 16S ribosomal RNA
Rfam family: Bacterial small subunit ribosomal RNA
Source: RNAcentral
GACGAACGCUGGCGGCGUGCUUAACACAUGCAAGUCGAACGGGCCCGCCCCUGUUUUUGGGGGUGGGUUGAGUGGCGAACGGGUGAGUAUCACGUGAGUAACCUGCCCCCUGCUCCUGGAUAACUGCUUGAAAGGGCGGCUAAUACGGGGUGUGCCGGCUGGUCCGCAUGGGCCUGGUCGGGAUAGUUUCAUCUUCGGGUGUUUCGGUGGGGGAUGGGCUCGCGGCCUAUCAGCUUGUUGGUGGGGUGAUGGCCCACCAAGGCGGUGACGGGUAGCCGGCCUGAGAGGGUGGGCGGCCACACUGGGACUGAGACACGGCCCAGACUCCUGCGGGAGGCAGCAGUGGGGGGUAUUGCACAAUGGGCGGAAGCCUGAUGCAGCGACGUCGCGUGAGGGAUGGAGGCCUUCGGGUUGUGAACCUCUUUCUCCGGUGGUGAAGGCCCUAUCCGUUGCGGCGGGGUUGACGGUAGCCGGGUAUGAAGCGCCGGCUAACUACGUG